GGAGGUGUGGCUCAAGUGGUAGAGUGCCAGCCUAGGAAGCAUUGAGGUCUAAGUUCAAACCCCAGUACCACCA
RNAcentral lists this transfer RNA (73 nucleotides) under Dipodomys ordii (Ord's kangaroo rat). It matches the Rfam family "tRNA". From Rfam's summary of the family: Transfer RNA (tRNA) molecules are approximately 80 nucleotides in length. Their secondary structure includes four short double-helical elements and three loops (D, anti-codon, and T loops). The record is from Rfam by way of RNAcentral. Lineage: Eukaryota; Metazoa; Chordata; Mammalia; Rodentia; Heteromyidae.